RNAcentral lists this ribosomal RNA (253 nucleotides) under uncultured bacterium. RNAcentral's name for it is "partial 16S ribosomal RNA". It matches the Rfam family "Bacterial small subunit ribosomal RNA", at positions 524 to 776 of the family's 1533-position model. The record is from RNAcentral.
UACAGAGGUGGCAAGCGUUGUUCGGAAUUACUGGGCGUAAAGCGCGUGUAGGCGGCUCUUCAAGUCAGGCGUGAAAGCCCCGGGCUCAACUCGGGAACUGCGCUUGAUACUGUCGAGCUAGAGUGUGGAAGGGGCGAUUGGAAUUCCGUGUGUAGCGGUGAAAUGCGUAGAUAUACGGAGGAACACCAGAGGCGAAGGCGGAUCGCUGGACAAUUGCUGACACUCAGGCACGAAAGCGUGGGGAGCAAAAGGG